Molecule: long non-coding RNA, 3392 nt
Organism: Plodia interpunctella (Indianmeal moth)
Lineage: Eukaryota; Metazoa; Arthropoda; Insecta; Lepidoptera; Pyralidae
Exons: 3
Source: RefSeq, a predicted model, not a curated record
CGCCGCAAUGCAGGAGCGCCGGCGGCAGGCGGCCGGCUCACCGUCAGUGCCUCAUCGACCACCGCGCAGCACACCGCAUCGCAAUUUUCCACGCGUCCAACUUAUCACCUGACUCUGUUGUGUAUCCCAGGAGCUCCUCCCUCCGACUUGAUAUUAAGACUAGCAGCUUGAGAUCUAACGUGCCGUGAUGAUCGUGAAUUUCUGCGGUGUCCAUCUUGUGCCUUUGACGACGGUCUAGGAAACCAGCGUGUACCAAUUAUGCAACAUCACAUAUAAUUUGCUUACCUAUUCAGUUGUAAUGCAUCCUGAAACGCUACGAUACCAACCAGCAUAGGGGCCAGCCACAGCAUCAGGUCUUCAGGAUCCUAGUACUUACGUCUUGUCCAUGAUCUGGCUCAGUACAUAGAUUGAUAAAUCGUCGCAGAUUAGAGUAUUAGUAAACGUAUGGAUCAACGUUUUUGUUGAGACGAUCUAUAUAAUUUUAUCACAUUGCUAUCUUCUUCUGUUGCUACUACGGAUUUUGAUCGAAUUUAGUUUUAAAAUACUCCAGAUACUCCAGUCCGGUUGCGCUCACAACGACUGAAGGUGAAACGUCAGCUACAACAAAUAAGAAAGGGUCGUGCUAAGUCCCGUUAAUAUGUACCAGUACCUAUAUAGUUAUAUGUAGUCUAAAUACAGACAGAGAAACCGUCAAUAACCAUUAGGUGCUUAUUAUCACAAAUUUCCCAUGCCGCAACUAGUAUCUAUAUAUAUAAUAUAGUAUAGAUAGUGUAAUAAAUUAGCAGGUUCAUCUGUAUUUUAUAAUUUUCCUACAUCAUAUUAUUAUAUUUUCAUCUAAAUAUUGUUAUAAAUUGCUUCAUUGCCAUACUAUAUUUCUGUAUUUCAACGUGGUAUUUCAUGUCGGUGAAAAUAUUUAAAAAAGAGAUAUAAUAUUAUGCCGGCAAUAAACUAUCGCCAGACGAGAAUAAACAAACAUUGCGUAGUUUUUAUGAGAGCUUUUUUUUACCGCAAUGAAAAACCAGCAAUGUAUGCCGAACCGCCAAAGUUGUGCGAACUGUUUGCCGAUAGUGUAUAGCCGGCAUUAUCCUUUUAGUUCCGAUAGUGUAUAUUAACUCUGAUUUGUUGGAGACAACGCUGAUUUUCGUACACGUUCGUGCAACAAGAAUAAAAUCCGACAUAAUACAGCAGCCAUACGGAGACGUACGGAUUUGAAGAGCUGAAGACGAAGACAAAGACGUUAGGGUAGACCGCGUUGGCAGUGUGGUUAGCUGGUUGUGUUUCCACUACAACAGCCACUAGCGACACUGCCCCUGCGUGCGCCCAAUACUUGCACCGUGUGAAGACAGCAUCAUAUACUUGCAUCAAUAAUAGAAGAUUUUUCAGCCGCACGUAGAUUACUCCAUUUAUAUGUAACUUUAAAUGUAUAACUAAAUAAUUAUUUUAGAGUUUUAACGUAUUUUGUGAUUUAAUAAUUUUAUAUUUGAUAUUGAUAUGUUUUUAAUAAAUCACAAUGUGUCUUCACUAUUUUCACCGUUACCUUCCACCCUAACCCAUCAUACCAAUAGGUAACGGCUUUCCUUUGGUUUUGCCACUUGCCUUCCCCAUAUUCACACACGAGAUGAUCUACUACUAAGCAGUAGGUGAACAUACGAUUGUAGGCGAUGAGGCGUGCAUGGCGGAACAAUAAUAUUGCAGCGUGCAGCGGGGUCCGUUGUGUCCUUGUGUUGCAAUUAAAACCUGUGGCUCUUGGCCAUAGGUACCUACUCAAGCGCAACCGCAACAGAAUAUAACUCCAUACAUAAUACGCGGUUCAAUAUUACAAGAACAGAAUUUAGAACCCUACAAGUUGCAGGCACACAUAUUUCAUAAAUUCUGCUUCCAAACUCCAUUCCGCUUCUAUGCUCCAUGAUAUAAAUAUAAAUCCUACUUUGGGGGCAAGUUUCAGUUUGAACAUGACGUAGUGACCAGUCAGGACUCAUUGUGUGUAGAAGAUUAACUUUCAAUACCAUGGAGUUAGUAAGUACCUACCUACUUUGUACGGAGUACCUACUAAUUCCAUGCUCAAUACAUAAAUUAAAACUAGUACCACAUACAAUACUCGUUUUAUUAAUAACCUCUUAAAUCGUGUCACUGGCAAGCUAAUGACAUAAAAUUGCAUUACGCGUGUAGUUUAUGGGACAAACGCCAAAUGUUUGCUUGUAUGAACGCGUGUUUGACUACACAUACUGAGCUAGGUACCUACCUACUUUAAAUUGUUGUUUACUAGCUGCAUCUACUGCUACCUGUCGAUAUAUGCAAAUAGAAGAGUAGGAUAGGUAUGCAUGUAUUACACAUGUAUAUACAUGAGAAAUUAAAAAUUAUUAGUCAUGAGCUUUGUUACUUGUUCAAAAUAAACUAUCAACUGCUCGAUAUCAAUAAAUAAUAAAUUAUUUACGAGUUAAAUCGUAACACUAUUUUUUCUACAAUUUCACGACAUGGUCUGAUAACUAGGGAUGCCCAUGGAUUUAGAACCUACUAACUUGACACGAUUAAGUUUUUUACCUAAAUGUCAUUUUUGACACAAGCUUUUAUUGUUGUCAAAAAGAUCUUAUAGCAUUCUGCUAUGUGACAUAAAAUCAUGUCCGUGCAAUAAACCUCGUCUGGAGCCGUUCCUGGGUGCACCAUCAGGUCAUGCUGAUCAUAAUAAUGUAUUGUCAUACAAACUCAAUCGGUUGAAGAUAUCUUCUUUAAAAUUGAGUUACAAGAAUCCACCCGAAUAGACAUAGGAACAUAAAGUAACCGGUAAAACUCUCAAAUGAGAGAGAGACCAGGGGGCUUACCAUCAUCUCUUAACGCGAUCCAUUUUACGACCUAAACUGAACUGCAUCGCAAAUUCGUACCAUCGACUUAAUUUUUUAUAUGAAUACGAUUCAGUUUAGGUUCCUAAAUUGAACUGAGUUGCAUUGGAAUCGUUCUGUAAAAGUUCAUGGUAGGCCUGCUGAUCUGAAAAGGAUCUUGAGACUGAAGCCCAUUAUUCUAUAGUGUGAGUGUCGCCUAACUCAACAGACGCCGAAUUUGUAUGUGAGCUCUCUAUUAUCUAUCGCAAGGAAACACCAUGAAUGUAGAUCUAAAUUGACAAGUUUGGUGAACUACUGAUAGUCUGUAGAUGGCAUAAAUGUGUCACAUUGUUUUCCAGACGCCUGAAGGGAUAUGACGUGACAUACGAAUACCGCUAUUUGGAAAUAGUACAUACACAAUGAACUUUAUUUGCUAAGACAGACAAACAUUCUGAUAAUUUACAUGUAUCUGCUUCCUAAAACACUUGUAUAACACAUUUUUUAUUUAUUGUACAUAUUUUUUUUUAAUGUUCCUACAUGAUUCAAUCGAUGUCAUGACAAUAAAUAAAAUUAUAA